UAGUUGGUGGGGUAAAGGCCUACCAAGGCGACGAUCAGUAGCGGGUCUGAGAGGAUGAUCCGCCACACUGGGACUGAGACACGGCCCAGACUCCUACGGGAGGCAGCAGUGGGGAAUUUUGGACAAUGGGGGGAACCCUGAUCCAGCCAUGCCGCGUGUCUGAAGAAGGCCUUCGGGUUGUAAAGGACUUUUGUACGGGAAGAAAGGCUUUGGGCUAAUACCCUGAAGUUAUGACGGUACCGUAAGAAUAAGCACCGGCUAACUACGUGCCAGCAGCCGCGGUAAUACGUAGGGUGCGAGCGUUAAUCGGAAUUACUGGGCGUAAAGCGAGCGCAGACGGUUACUUAAGCAGGAUGUGAAAUCCCCGGGCUUAACCUGGGAACGGCGUUCUGAACUGGGUAACUAGAGUAUGUCAGAGGGGGGUAGAAUUCCACGUGUAGCAGUGAAAUGCGUAGAGAUGUGGAGGAAUACCGAUGGCGAAGGCAGCCCCCUGGGAUAAUACUGACGUUCAUGCUCGAAAGCGUGGGUAGCAAACAGGAUUAGAUACCCUGGUAGUCCACGCCCUAAACGAUGUCAAUUAGCUGUUGGGGUACUUGAUACCUUAGUAGUGUAGCAUAACGCGUGAA
RNAcentral lists this ribosomal RNA (626 nucleotides) under uncultured bacterium. RNAcentral describes it as "bacterial SSU rRNA". It matches the Rfam family "Bacterial small subunit ribosomal RNA", at positions 246 to 863 of the family's 1533-position model. The record is from RNAcentral.